RNAcentral lists this ribosomal RNA (568 nucleotides) under uncultured bacterium. Its description in RNAcentral is "bacterial SSU rRNA". It matches the Rfam family "Bacterial small subunit ribosomal RNA", at positions 338 to 916 of the family's 1533-position model. The record is from RNAcentral.
CCUACGGGAGGCAGCAGUGGGGAAUAUUGCACAAUGGGCGAAAGCCUGAUGCAGCGACGCCGCAUGAGGGAUGACGGCCUUCGGGUUGUAAACCUCUUUCAGCAGGGAAGAAGCGAAAGUGACGGUACCUGCAGAAGAAGCGCCGGCUAACUACGUGCCAGCAGCCGCGGUAAUACGUAGGGCGCAAGCGUUGUCCGGAAUUAUUGGGCGUAAAGAGCUCGUAGGCGGCUUGUUGCGUCGGUUGUGAAAGCCCGGGGCUUAACCCCGGGUCUGCAGUCGAUACGGGCAGGCUAGAGUGUGGUAGGGGAGAUCGGAAUUCCUGGUGUAGCGGUGAAAUGCGCAGAUAUCAGGAGGAACACCGGUGGCGAAGGCGGAUCUCUAGGCCAUUACUGACGCUGAGGAGCGAAAGCGUGGGGAGCGAACAGGAUUAGAUACCCUGGUAGUCCACGCCGUAAACGUUGGGAACUAGGUGUUGGCGACAUUCCACGUCGUCGGUGCCGCAGCUAACGCAUUAAGUUCCCCGCCUGGGGAGUACGGCCGCAAGGCUAAAACUCAAAGGAAUUGACGG